Molecule: long non-coding RNA, 485 nt
Organism: Tympanuchus pallidicinctus (lesser prairie-chicken)
Lineage: Eukaryota; Metazoa; Chordata; Aves; Galliformes; Phasianidae
Exons: 2
Source: RefSeq, a predicted model, not a curated record
GUUUGCCCAGCAGGUCCCAGUUCAGACAUGCUGGUCUCUUGCCUGCCUUUCCUGACUUGCUACACCUGGGGAUGGAGAGUUCCUGUGCUCUGAGAAAAGCCUCCUUAAGAAUCUGCCGUCUCUGCUCCAAACCCUUGCCAUGAGGACAGCUUCCCAGUGUGCUUUGUUGAUUAACUCCCUGAUGAACUGCAACAGCCUCCUGGAUUGCCUGCAGCUCGCUGUGCUACUGUUCCAGCAGAUCUCAGGGUGGUUGAAGCCCUCUAGCAGGAUGAGCACUUGUGAUUGUGGUGCCUUGUGCAGUUGGAGGUAGGAAGCCUCACUGACAGGCUCUGACUGACCUGGUGGCCUCUUGUAGAUACCAAUGAUAAAACUUCCUUUGCUGCCUCAGUCUCUGUCACCCAUAGGCUUUUGACUUGCUUGAGAUUGUUUUGUGUUGUUUUUUUUUUUUUUUUUUUUGCAAAAAUGAAUUUGGUGCAGUGCUGGAA